UCUGGACCCGAGCGAAACAGAAUCUGAGUUUCCAAGUAAUUAUUUGAUUUUUCCAUUAGAAGCUACACUACUCAUCAAGCCCAACAGACUCGGAUGGGCCAAUGUUGGUGGUCUGGUAACUGUAGUUGCUACCUACCACCGAGGGCCUAGGAGGAACAGGAGUGGGUGCAGGCAGACCUGAGGCCCAAUGCAAGCUUGAUAGCUUGUGGAAUCAUGUGACCUGCCAAAAGGAUCGUCACCUAAAAUCUGAGUUCCUGACUUCAAAAUGGGGUAAGUGUGGAUGCCAGACAACGUAGAUCACAAAUUACUAACUAGCCGUGUAUAAUUGGCCAACGCGUUGGACUAUG
This is a long non-coding RNA of Syngnathus acus (greater pipefish), 347 nucleotides long. RefSeq lists it as uncharacterized. The transcript is spliced from 3 exons. The record is from RefSeq and is a predicted model, not a curated record. NCBI's taxonomy places the organism in Eukaryota, Metazoa, Chordata, Actinopteri, Syngnathiformes, Syngnathidae.